GAUGAGCGCUGGCGGUAUGCCUAACACAUGCAAGUCGUACGCCUCACUUCGGUGAGGAGUGGCGGACGGGUGAGUAACACGUUAGUACCUGCCCCAAAGUGGGGAAUAACUGCCCGAAAGGGUAGCUAAUACCCCAUAGUCUCCGGUUUAUCCGGAGUAAAGAUUUAUCGCUUUGGGAGGGGCUUGCGUUUGAUUAGCUAGUUGGUGAGGGUAAUGGCCCACCAAGGCGACGAUCAAUAGCUGGAUCGAGAGGUUGACCAGCCACACUGGGACUGGGAUACGGCCCAGACUCCUACGGGAGGCAGCAGUGAGGAAUCUUCCACAAUGGGCGAAAGCCUGAUGGAGCAAUACCGCGUGCAGGAUGAAGCUUUUCGGAGUGUAAACUGCUUUUCUGAAGGAAGAUUAUGACGGUACUUCAGGAAUAAGGAUCGGCUAACUACGUG
Molecule: ribosomal RNA, 443 nt
Filed under: uncultured bacterium
Lineage: Bacteria
Description: bacterial SSU rRNA
Rfam family: Bacterial small subunit ribosomal RNA
Source: RNAcentral